AGCGAGUAUUACCAUGGUAACCCCUUACAUGAGUGGGUUCAACCAUUACUGGCUCUCAUAUUGUACUGAUCCCAUACGGUAAAUAGAAAUAUCAUCACAGCACA
RNAcentral lists this small RNA (104 nucleotides) under Spisula solidissima (Atlantic surf clam). Lineage: Eukaryota; Metazoa; Mollusca; Bivalvia; Venerida; Mactridae. The record is from RNAcentral.